UACGUAGGUGGCAAGCGUUAUCCGGAAUUAUUGGGCGUAAAGCGCGCGUAGGCGGUUUUUUAAGUCUGAUGUGAAAGCCCACGGCUCAACCGUGGAGGGUCAUUGGAAACUGGAAAACUUGAGUGCAGAAGAGGAAAGUGGAAUUCCAUGUGUAGCGGUGAAAUGCGCAGAGAUAUGGAGGAACACCAGUAGCGAAGGCGACUUUCUGGUCUGUAACUGACGCUGAUGUGCGAAAGCGUGGGGAUCAAA
This 249-nucleotide ribosomal RNA is filed under the name uncultured Staphylococcus sp. RNAcentral describes it as "partial 16S ribosomal RNA". It matches the Rfam family "Bacterial small subunit ribosomal RNA", at positions 524 to 772 of the family's 1533-position model. Lineage: Bacteria; Bacillati; Bacillota; Bacilli; Caryophanales; Staphylococcaceae. The record is from RNAcentral.